CGAGGAAAGAACCACCAGGGAUUGCCCUAGUAACGGCGAGUGAAGCGGCAACAGCUCAAAUUUGAAAUCUGGCCCCCUCGGGGUCCGAGUUGUAAUUUGCAGAGGGAGCUUUUGGCGUCGGUCGUGGUCUAAGUUCCUUGGAACAGGACGUCACAGAGGGUGAGAAUCCCGUACGUGGCCGCCGGCCAUCGCCUUGUAAAGCCCCUUCGACGAGUCGAGUUGUUUGGGAAUGCAGCUCUAAAUGGGAGGUAAAUUUCUUCUAAAGCUAAAUACCCGCCAGAGACCGAUAGCGCACAAGUAGAGUGAUCGAAAGAUGAAAAGCACUUUGGAAAGAGAGUGAAAAAGCACGUGAAAUUGUUGAAAGGGAAGCGCUUGCGGCCAGACGUGCCCGCGGUUGAUCAUCCAGGCUCCAGCCUGGUGCACUCCUCCGCGGGCAGGCCAGCAUCAGUUCGGGCGGUCGGAUAAAGGCCUCUGUCACGUACCACCCCUCGGGGUGGCCUUAUAGGGGAGGCGCAACACGGCCAGCCCGGACUGAGGUUCCGCGCAUCUGCUAGGAUGCUGGCGUAAUGGCAGCAAGCGGCCCGUCUUGAAACACGGACCAAGGAGUCUAACAUCUAUGCGAGUGUUUGGGUGUCAAGCCCGAGCGCGCAAUGAAAGUGAACGGAGGUGGGAACCCUUACCGGUGCACCAUCGACCGAUCCUGAUGUCUUCGGAUGGAUUUGAGUAAGAGCAUAGCUGUUGGGACCCGAAAGAUGGUGAACUAUGCCUGAAUAGGGUGAAGCCAGAGGAAACUCUGGUGGAGGCUCGCAGCGGUUCUGACGUGCAAAUCGAUCGUCAAAUUUGGGCAUAGGGGCGAAAGACUAAUCGA
RNAcentral lists this ribosomal RNA (868 nucleotides) under Torula sp. RNAcentral's name for it is "partial large subunit ribosomal RNA". It matches the Rfam family "Eukaryotic large subunit ribosomal RNA", at positions 52 to 938 of the family's 3401-position model. Lineage: Eukaryota; Fungi; Ascomycota; Dothideomycetes; Pleosporales; Torulaceae. The record is from RNAcentral.